UACAGCAAAUCAAAGAGAUUUACUCAUUGUAUGUAGAUAAUAUAUCAGAAUCUGAAAUGGAAGGCUGUACCUGUCUUUAUGGCACCAAAACGACAAUGUGAUUUUUUAACCAUGCUCAACACAAGCUGGCAUUUUAACUGAGCAGCCAAACGCAUCCGCAAAAUGUUUGCAUUUCCUGCUUCCAUAGAUUCUACAAGCUGCUGUUGAAAGAUCAUGGAAAUCUAUAUUGCCGCUUAUUCAAUUGCAGUUACCAGGAUAUUUCGCUGUUGUACAAUAAAAAUAUAGAGCAUCAGGGUGGUUAUUGCGAUCGAAGUGGCUCACAAGAAACAAAAGGUGAAUACUGCAGACACCAUAAUUCUACCAUUUCCGGGGCAUCGCAUUCGUUCUCAUCAAUUUUUAAGAGAAAUUAUGUUUCACCGUGAUAGUUGGCAAUAUGUUUUAUAUUUGACCAUCCAUUAUGCAAUUUCAUGCAGAUCUUGCCUGGUCUGAUGCUACUAAGAUACUGCUGCUUUUGUUUUGCUUAAGUGAUAUUAUUUUUACGAAGUGCAAUUCCUCUUUCAGUUCUGAUGCAACCACAAUUGAACCCAAGUUGGUACUGCUAUAUGCUGCUCUUUUCCUCUUUCAGGGAGUUUGUGUUUGUAGAGCAUUUUGGUGAUGGAAGACAAUGAUCUACUCUUCUUUUUGUCCUCAGAAAUGUAACUCGACAAAGAUCAUUUAUUUAGAUAUUCCAUCAUGUAUAAGCUACAGUUUGGUUGCGCCUCGCGAACAUUGAAGAUUUCCCUCCAGGGAUUGCUUGCUUCCACUCAUUAAUCAUUCUAUUGGCAAGUGCCCGGAAAAUAGCAAAGAUACGCAUAUUUUUCUCAAACAGUAGACGUCGGGUCUCUGAAAUGUUGCAGUUUCAUAAAUAAUGAAGAUAAACUAAGACUUACAUCA
Molecule: long non-coding RNA, 933 nt
Organism: Phoenix dactylifera (date palm)
Lineage: Eukaryota; Viridiplantae; Streptophyta; Magnoliopsida; Arecales; Arecaceae
Source: RefSeq, a predicted model, not a curated record